CUUAGGGUCCUCAUUUGUAAAAACAACCACAAACAAAACCCAGGAAGGCUUAGAGACCAUUUCUCCCAGCUCUAAGAUGUCUUUAUUAGAUCUCCUUUCUUUUGGUAGAAACUGCCUUUUUCUUCUGUACUAUAAAAAAUGUUAAUAUCCCUAGAAGCAGUUAUUAACAGGGUAGGAACUUUAAUUAAUACAAACUUAUUUCUUCCCGGAGGAGAAACCUAGGCCCUGUAAGAAGAGGCAGUAAUGAAAGAGGAAAAGAAAGGGAAAGGGAAGGGAGAAAAUAAACACACAUAUACACAGGUAUACUUGUUCUGCAUUAUUUGAUACAUUGUGGACUAUUUUGGCAACAGCCUGUUAAAAGUAUUUCCCCUUUUUUCUUCUUUUUAACCCACUCUUGCCUGCCUCCUAUAACUUUGAGACCCCAUCCCUUCUUUUUUUUUAAUACCAAGUAAAGGAAGAAUGACAGCCAUCAGAUACCAAAUUCACCUACUCGUCAGUUUUGCCCCAUGCCUGGGAGAACAGCAGCAGUGUUGAGCCCCCUUGCAGCCUUGGGAGUGAAGGGACAGCUGUUGUUCCUCAAAAUCAUCUGCACCUGGAUUGGAAUACUUCCACAAACCCGAUUAGGUCCUUCGUGGGGUCACACUUUUCGAAGAAAAGCCGCCAAACCUUGCCUACUCAGUUUACUGGGACGCUCCGGGAGGACCUCGAGACACGAGUCCCCAGACAGGUGAAAAGCAGCCAGAAUGGAAGUCCUCAAACACCCCACACUCAAGCCAUCUGGACUGAAUUACUUGCAGUUUUUCACAGGGGCUGGGGACACAACAGACAAAGCAGAUCCCCGCCUUCGUGAAGCACGCAUUGGCGUCUCAAAUAUUUAAACCACGAAUUCACCAAUGGAGUUUGAGUAGUUAGAAAAGAAAAGAAUUCCAAGGAUUGAGCUUUGGAACAUUCCAACGUCUGGUGUUGAGAGAGAUGAGGAGUAAAGGACAAAGGAAAUUAAGAUGCCACUAAUGAGAACCCCAGGGCUUCGGACCAGCAGGAACCCAGCCACACAGCAGGAGGUGAGCGAGUGAAGCUUCAUCUGCCGCUCCCCAUCACUCCCCAUCACUCGCGUUACUGCCUGAACCAUCCCCACCCCCAACUGGUCCGUGGAAAAAUUGUCUUCCAUGAAAACGGUCCCUGGUGCCAAAAAGAUUGGGGACCGCUGGUCUACUCUAUUUCCAGUUGUGUACCCUAAACACUAUCUGCAGACAUGUAUCUAUACGUCUGAAUCCCAAUAGUGUAUAAAAUUCAAAUUUAUGCUCCAGAAGGCUCCUUAGCCCCCGUGUAAUAAUGAAUAAUCAUCCUUUGUAAUAGAACAAAAAGUAAAAAAACUGAACUCCACUCAGUGAAUGUUCUAAUUGUUUUUCCUAAUUUGUACCAUUAGUAUUAGCUCUAUUAUCUUUAAUCAUAAUAAAUAAUUUA
Long non-coding RNA from Orcinus orca (killer whale), 1464 nucleotides. RefSeq lists it as uncharacterized. The record is from RefSeq and is a predicted model, not a curated record. Lineage: Eukaryota; Metazoa; Chordata; Mammalia; Artiodactyla; Delphinidae. The transcript has 5 exons.